GACGAACGCUGGCGGUGUGCUUAACACAUGCAAGUCGAACGGUAAGGCCCUUUCGGGGGUACACGAGUGGCGAACGGGUGAGUAACACGUGAGUAACCUGCCCUCAUCUCUGGGAUAACAGUCGGAAACGGUUGCUAAUACUGGAUAUGAGCUUGCAAGGCAUCUUGUGGGUUGGAAAGAUUUUUUUGGUUGGGGAUGGACUCGCGGCCUAUCAGCUUGUUGGUGAGGUAGUGGCUCACCAAGGCUUCGACGGGUAGCCGGCCUGAGAGGGCGACCGGCCACAUUGGGACUGAGAUACGGCCCAAACUCCUACGGGAGGCAGCAGUGGGGAAUAUUGCACAAUGGACGGAAGUCUGAUGCAGCAACGCCGCGUGCGGGAUGACGGUCUUCGGGUUGUAAACCGCUUUCAAUUGUGACGAAGCUUUUUGUGACGGUAGCAGUAGAAGAAGCACCGGCUAACUACGUG
This 466-nucleotide ribosomal RNA is filed under the name uncultured bacterium. Its description in RNAcentral is "partial 16S ribosomal RNA". It matches the Rfam family "Bacterial small subunit ribosomal RNA", at positions 28 to 507 of the family's 1533-position model. The record is from RNAcentral.